This 253-nucleotide ribosomal RNA is filed under the name uncultured bacterium. RNAcentral describes it as "partial 16S ribosomal RNA". It matches the Rfam family "Bacterial small subunit ribosomal RNA", at positions 524 to 776 of the family's 1533-position model. The record is from RNAcentral.
UACGGAGGGUGCAAGCGUUAUCCGGAUUCACUGGGUUUAAAGGGUGCGUAGGUGGGCAGGUAAGUCAGUGGUGAAAUCCCCGAGCUUAACUUGGGAACUGCCGUUGAUACUAUCUGUCUUGAAUAUUGUGGAGGUGAGCGGAAUAUGUCACGUAGCGGUGAAAUGCUUAGAUAUGACAUAGAACACCAAUUGCGAAGGCAGCUCGCUACACAAAUAUUGACUCUGAGGCACGAAAGCGUGGGGAUCAAACAGG